RNAcentral lists this ribosomal RNA (505 nucleotides) under uncultured bacterium. RNAcentral describes it as "bacterial SSU rRNA". It matches the Rfam family "Bacterial small subunit ribosomal RNA", at positions 501 to 1008 of the family's 1533-position model. The record is from RNAcentral.
CUACGUGCCAGCAGCCGCGGUAAUACGGAAGGUCCGGGCGUUAUCCGGAUUUAUUGGGUUUAAAGGGAGCGUAGGCUGGAGAUUAAGUGUGUUGUGAAAUGUAGACGCUCAACGUCUGACUUGCAGCGCAUACUGGUUUUCUUGAGUACGCACAACGUUGGCGGAAUUCGUCGUGUAGCGGUGAAAUGCUUAGAUAUGACGAAGAACUCCGAUUGCGAAGGCAGCUGACGGGAGCGCAACUGACGCUGAAGCUCGAAGGUGCGGGUAUCGAACAGGAUUAGAUACCCUGGUAGUCCGCACAGUAAACGAUGGAUGCCCGCUGUUGGUACGUGGUAUCAGCGGCUAAGCGAAAGCAUUAAGCAUCCCACCUGGGGAGUACGCCGGCAACGGUGAAACUCAAAGGAAUUGACGGGGGCCCGCACAAGCGGAGGAACAUGUGGUUUAAUUCGAUGAUACGCGAGGAACCUUACCCGGGCUUGAAUUGCAGAGGAAGUAUUUAGAGAUA